UGGGGAAUAUUGCACAAUGGGCGCAAGCCUGAUGCAGCCAUGCCGCGUGUAUGAAGAAGGCCUUCGGGUUGUAAAGUACUUUCAGCGGGGAGGAAGGGAGUAAAGUUAAUACCUUUGCUCAUUGACGUUACCCGCAGAAGAAGCACCGGCUAACUCCGUGCCAGCAGCCGCGGUAAUACGGAGGUUGCAAGCGUUAAUCGGAAUUACUGGGCGUAAAGCGCACGCAGGCGGUUUGUUAAGUCAGAUGUGAAAUCCCCGGGCUCAACCUGGGACAUGCAUCUGAUACUGGCAAGCUUGAGUCUCGUAGAGGGGGGUAGAAUUCCAGGUGUGGCGGUGAAAUGCGUAGAGAUCUGGAGGAAUCCCGGUGGCGAAGGCGGCCCCCUGGACGAAGACUGACGCUCAGGUGCGAAAGCGUGGGGAGCAAACAGG
Molecule: ribosomal RNA, 429 nt
Filed under: Chloroflexota bacterium
Lineage: Bacteria; Bacillati; Chloroflexota
Description: Chloroflexi bacterium partial 16S ribosomal RNA
Rfam family: Bacterial small subunit ribosomal RNA
Source: RNAcentral